Molecule: long non-coding RNA, 1488 nt
Organism: Eriocheir sinensis (Chinese mitten crab)
Lineage: Eukaryota; Metazoa; Arthropoda; Malacostraca; Decapoda; Varunidae
Exons: 2
Source: RefSeq, a predicted model, not a curated record
AGAGAGAGAGAGAGAGAGAGAGAGAGAGAGAGAGAGAGAGAGAGAGGAAAGAAUGUACUACAGAGGCCCCCAAUCUUAACACUUAAUUCAUGUAUUCCCCUUAUCAUCAGGACCAGGAAGGGUGAGUUGCGUUUGAGAGACGAAGAAGAAAAAAGGGAUGAUGAAGCUAAAAAACAGGUUACAAGAGGCCACAGGUGUCAUAAGUUGGUAUUUUAAGACACUUUCGCUUCUCACAUCAGCUAUUUCCAAAGGCCAAAGUGAAGACCAGUCGGGUUCUAAUGAGUGUUCUUUUAGGUUCGUGGUACAGAAGAAGGAUCAGACUACCACCAAGGCUAUAAAACUACCCCUAGAAAUGGCCCAAACUCCCACGAAAGCCUUGUCAAAUAUGUGUUCUUGGGCGGCGAAAUGUCUUAUAAUACAAUGCCCCAAUAGUUUCCCCAAUUUAAUAGUCAAGUCGUGUUUUCCUCAUCUCAUAUUAUCAAAGCCAAAGUGUGAUGGUUGCGCAUGAGACAGGUGAAGAAGAGGAGAUAACGAGGCUGCAUGGGAGGGUUAAGGAGGCCACAGGUGUCAUAGUGCCCCCAGGUUGCCAGUCAUGUUUUCCUCGUGUUAUCAAAGCCAAAUUGUGGUAACUGCGUAUGAGACAGGUGAGAUAAUGAAACUAGAGAACAAGUAACAGAUGGCCACAGGUGUUAUGAAGGAGGAGGGAGAUAAAUAAUGUACUACAGGUGUCCACAAACUUAACAGUCAACACAUGUUUUCCUCGUGUUUUCAAAGCCAGAGAGGAGUGGUUGCGUAUGAGACAGGUUGAGAUAAUACGAUGUCAAGACGAGACCACCGAACAUGAUUUUAAAAGAGGAGGAAGAUGUUACAUGGAAACAGGAUAUACAUGAAGGAGGAGAGAAAUGCAUAGUGGGUAUUAGGUCACAGGUAAGAGGAUGAAUAAUUGAAAGGUGCAACGAAAGGUCACAGGUGGGCGGGAUUCGAGGUGGGAUCGGUAAAAUGUAUUGAAGACAAAGGAAACAGGUAACACGAGAGGGAAAGGGAGAGCAGGUGACGUGGGUGAAGGGCAAGUGAGGAAGGGGAGGGGGAGGGGGAGGAGGAGGAGGAGGACAGGUGGGCACAGGUGAAGAAGAAGAGAAACAAGAAGAAAGAUAGAACAAAGAAGGAGGAGAAAAGAAAGAAAGAAAAAAGAGAAAAGAAAAGAGAAAGGAAGGAGGACAGGUGGACACAGGUAAAGAAGAAGAGAAACAAGAAGAAAGAUAGAAAAAGAAGAAGGAGUAGGAGGUGGAGGAGAAAAGAAAGGAAGAGAGAAAGAAAAAAAAGAAGGAAGAGAAAGAAAAAAAGAAAGGAAGAAGAAGAAGAAGAGGUUUUGAGGAUGGGUCAUUAAAGGUGUACAAGAGAGAGAGAGAGAGAGAGAGAGAGAGAGAGAGAGAGAGAGAGAGAGAGAGAGAGAGAGAGAGAGAGAGAGAGAGAGAGAGAGAGAGAGAG